UCACAGCUACAACGCUCAGGACCUGGAGCUCUGUGAUUGGCUGUUUCCUGAAGCAGUGCACUGUGGGACAUGUAGUCC
Molecule: long non-coding RNA, 78 nt
Organism: Myripristis murdjan (pinecone soldierfish)
Lineage: Eukaryota; Metazoa; Chordata; Actinopteri; Holocentriformes; Holocentridae
Exons: 3
Source: RefSeq, a predicted model, not a curated record